GAUGAACGCUAGCUACAGGCUUAACACAUGCAAGUCGAGGGGCAGCAUGUUGGUUGCGUGCAACCGAUGAUGGCGACCGGCGCAAGGGUGAGUAACGCGUAUCCAACCUACCCUUGUCCAUCGGAAAACCCGUCGAAAGGCGGCCUAACACGAUAUGCGGUUCACAGCGGGCCGGUAACGUGAACGAAAUGUGAAGGAUGAGGAGGGGGAUGCGUCUGAUUAGGUUGUUGGCGGGGUAACGGCCCACCAAGGCGACGAUCAGUAGGGGUUCUGGGAGGAAGGUCCCCCUCAUUGAAACUGAGACACGGUCCAAACUCCUACGGGAGGCAGCAGUGAGGAAUAUUGGUCAAUGGACGAGAGUCUGAACCAGCCAAGUAGCGUGCAGGAUGACGGCCCUAUGGGUUGUAAACUGCUUUUAUAAGGGAAUAAAGUGAGUCUCGUGAGACUUUUUGCAUGUACCUUAUGAAUAAGGACCGGCUAAUUCCGUGCCAGCAGCCGCGGUAA
Molecule: ribosomal RNA, 504 nt
Filed under: uncultured bacterium
Lineage: Bacteria
Description: partial 16S ribosomal RNA
Rfam family: Bacterial small subunit ribosomal RNA
Source: RNAcentral